Molecule: ribosomal RNA, 300 nt
Filed under: uncultured bacterium
Lineage: Bacteria
Description: bacterial SSU rRNA
Rfam family: Bacterial small subunit ribosomal RNA
Source: RNAcentral
UAAGUCCCGCAACGAGCGCAACCCUUGUCCUUAGUUGCCAGCCUUAAGUUGGGCACUCUAAGGAGACUGCCGGUGACAAACCGGAGGAAGGUGGGGACGACGUCAAGUCAUCAUGGCCCUUACGGGAUGGGCUACACACGUGCUACAAUGGCAUAUACAAAGGGUUGCAAACUUGCGAGAGUGAGCGGAUCCCAUAAAGUAUGUCGUAGUCCGGAUUGGAGUCUGCAACUCGACUCCAUGAAGUCGGAAUCGCUAGUAAUCGUAGAUCAGAAUGCUACGGUGAAUACGUUCCCGGGCCUU